This is a long non-coding RNA of Ornithodoros turicata, 224 nucleotides long. RefSeq lists it as uncharacterized. The record is from RefSeq and is a predicted model, not a curated record. The transcript has 3 exons. Lineage: Eukaryota; Metazoa; Arthropoda; Arachnida; Ixodida; Argasidae.
CUGCCAUCGACAGUGCUGUAUUGUCACCCCAGCCUCUGGUCGUAGACUCUGUCCUUGCGGCUGCUACAUCAAGGUUCCGAGAGGUGUCGCCAGAGCCACGAGAUGGUGCCUGCAACGAGGAAACGUGUAGCCCUGUAGCAGAGCAACAUAUGCCACAGCCUGCACAGGAGACAAGCCCCUUUUGUCAUGCACACCAUGACAGUUGCCUCGAUGACAUUGCCCGG